CCUACGGGAGGCAGCAGUGGGGAAUAUUGCACAAUGGGGGAAACCCUGAUGCAGCGACGCCGCGUGAGUGAAGAAGGAUUUCGUUUUGUAAAGCUCUAUCAGCAGGGACGAAAAUGACGGUACCUGAGGAAGAAGCCACGGCUAACUACGUGCCAGCAGCCGCGGUAAUACGUAGGGGGCAAGCGUUAUCCGGAUUUACUGGGUGUAAAGGGAGCGUAGGCGGCAUGGCAAGUCAGAAGUGAAAAGCGUGGGCUCAACCCCUGGACUGCUUUUGAAACUGUUAGGCUAGAGUGCAGGAGAGGAAAGUGGAAUUCCUAGUGUAGCGGUGAAAUGCGUAGAUAUUAGGAGGAACACCAGUGGCGAAGGCGGCUUUCUGGACUGUAACUGACGUUGAGGCUCGAAAGCGUGGGGAGCAAACAGGAUUAGAUACCCUAGUAGUC
RNAcentral lists this ribosomal RNA (440 nucleotides) under uncultured bacterium. Its description in RNAcentral is "partial 16S ribosomal RNA". It matches the Rfam family "Bacterial small subunit ribosomal RNA", at positions 338 to 795 of the family's 1533-position model. The record is from RNAcentral.